UACGGAGGGUGCAAGCGUUAUCCGGAUUUACUGGGUUUAAAGGGUGCGUAGGCGGACUUUUAAGUCAGUGGUGAAAUCCCCGAGCUUAACUCGGAAACUGCCAUUGAUACUAUUUGUCUUGAAUUCGGUCGAGGUUGGCGGAAUGUGUCGUGUAGCGGUGAAAUGCUUAGAUAUGACACAGAACACCGAUUGCGAAGGCAGCUAGCUAGACCGACAUUGACGCUGAGGCACGAAAGCGUGGGGAUCAAACAGG
RNAcentral lists this ribosomal RNA (253 nucleotides) under uncultured bacterium. RNAcentral's name for it is "partial 16S ribosomal RNA". It matches the Rfam family "Bacterial small subunit ribosomal RNA", at positions 524 to 776 of the family's 1533-position model. The record is from RNAcentral.